GCCCAGCUAGCUCAGUCUGUAGAGCAUGAGACUCUUAAUCUCAGGGUCAUGAGUUCGAGCCCCACGUUGGGUG
This 73-nucleotide transfer RNA is filed under the name Mus musculus musculus (eastern European house mouse). Its description in RNAcentral is "tRNA-Lys (CTT) (tRNA-Lys-CTT-7-1)". It matches the Rfam family "tRNA". From Rfam's summary of the family: Transfer RNA (tRNA) molecules are approximately 80 nucleotides in length. Their secondary structure includes four short double-helical elements and three loops (D, anti-codon, and T loops). Lineage: Eukaryota; Metazoa; Chordata; Mammalia; Rodentia; Muridae. The record is from RNAcentral.